GUGAUAGUACACCACUUCACCUUUUUCCAUGUUUGGUCCAGGAUUAGGGUUCACCACAUCCCACAGUUGGUGAUGGAGCCAAUAGCACAGCAUUCUUCAUGUCGUUCCUAAGGGAGAGAACUGCAACACCAGUUGCUGCAGGUUGCGUUGGAACUGUGGAAAGGAGUUGCUUGUUUCUGCCGCGGUGGUGGUUGUGAUUCUUGAGAAGCGUUGUUGUGGUAAUGAGGCUGUUGAGUAGCAGGUCACAUCUACUCCUUCCUUUGGGUUUAUGGCUUCUUUCACAAGUGGGUAGCAAACAUUUGGAACAAUGUUGAGUGGUAUGUGCGACUUUUUUGCAAGUAUUAGUUCCGGCAGUCUUCCUCUCGUAGCAAUUUUGUGACAUGUAUUUUUUUCUAUGGUGGGCUAUGGGCUGAAAAUGUUGUACAAAACAAGUCGUGCAUGCUCUGUUAGUCAUACUUGUAACCCAGUCAAAUCAUCAGUGGAUUGAACACUUUUCUAUUUUAUUUACAGUUUUUCAAUUGAUGUACUGAAAAGCAGUGGUGUAUAAUAUUUCUGGUGAAGGAGUUAGAUGGAGCAAUUGUCGUUGUAGAAAGAGAUCCAGCUUGAUGUAAUUUUGGUUGCACUGAGAUUGAGCGUCGUAAAAAACGAACUGCUUAUGCACUGAGUCAGGCGAACUCCUCAGCUUCUAAUUCAAUGCCUUUGUAGAGGUUGUGUAUGUAGUUUUGAUCAUAUUUUGGAUCCAAUGUUUGUCACGUUUUCCCAUGCUAGCAGUUCUCAUUCUGCUAUCCAUGAAUUUUCUCAAAGUUAACAGGUACAAUCGAUUCUUCGAGGAGUUCAAAGUUGCUGCUGAGAGGGAUGAUAAUUGUCAACUUCUCGACACUCUGUUCGCAAGCUGAUAUGACGAUUGCAGUGAUUGUCCGAGGGUGGCUGCUGAGCAGCUUAGAUCCUUAAUUGACUUCACUAUCUACGACUGUGCAGAAAAGAAUUGCUGGAGCAUUGAAGAAAGUAGGUUCGAAAGAACAAGUAAUGAUUCUAGUGUUCCUCAUGGUCCUCUUCAUGAUUCUUACUCCACUUGUGUUUCCAGGUUAUUUCCGUCUUCGUUUCUACAAAGGACGGCAGUCCGAACAUGUCACUGAUUGCUCUAAAUCAUUUAAUUGUUAGUCGAAAUUUCCGAAUUAAAAGACAGUAUUCUUAUUUUCAUUA
Non-coding RNA from Physcomitrium patens, 1203 nucleotides. The record is from RefSeq and is a predicted model, not a curated record. Lineage: Eukaryota; Viridiplantae; Streptophyta; Bryopsida; Funariales; Funariaceae.